This 1227-nucleotide ribosomal RNA is filed under the name metagenome. RNAcentral's name for it is "bacterial LSU rRNA". It matches the Rfam family "Bacterial large subunit ribosomal RNA", at positions 1694 to 2925 of the family's 2925-position model. The record is from RNAcentral.
CCAAACUAUGGUUAAGGAACUUUGCAAAUUAGCCCCGUAAGUUCGCGAGAAGGGGUGCCUGUCAAAACACAGGCCGCAGUAAAGAGGCACGAACGACUGUUUAUCAAAAACACAGCUCUCUGCUAAGGAGCAAUCCGAUGUAUAGGGGGCGACGCCUGCCCGGUGCUGGAAGGUUAAGAGGAGGAGUUAGCCGUAAGGUGAAGCUCUGAAUUGAAGCCCCAGUGAACGGCGGCCGUAACUAUAACGGUCCAAAGGUAGCGAAAUUCCUUGUCAGGUAAGUUCUGACCCGCAUGAAAGGCGUAACGAUUCGUGCACUGUCUCAACCAUAGACUCGGUGAAAUCUUAGUACCUGUGAAGAUGCAGGUUACCCGCAACUAGACGGAAAGACCCCGUGGAGCUUUACUGCAACCUGAUAUUGAGUUUUUUUCUUAUUUAUUCAGGAUAUCAAUAGGUGGAAGACUAUGAAGCCAAGACGCCAGUUUUGGUGGAGUCAACGGUGAGAUACCACCUCUAUAAGCAAAAAAUUCUAACUUAUUGGUUUACAGCCAAAAGGACAGUGUUUGGUGGGUAGUUUAACUGGGGCGGUUGCCUCCUAAAAAGUAACGGAGGCGUUCAAAGGUAUCCUCAGCAGAAGUAGAAAUUCUGUGAUGAGCGUAAAGGUAAAAGGAUGCUUAACUGUGAGACUGACCAGUCGAACAGAUACGAAAGUAGGACUUAGUGAUCUGCCGAUGCUUAGUGGUAAGGUCGGCACUCAACGAAUAAAAGUUACCCCGGGGAUAACAGGCUUAUCUUUUCCGAGCGACCAUAGCGACGAAAAGGAUUGGCACCUCGAUGUCGGCUCUUCUCAUCCUGGUGGUGAAGAAGCUACCAAGGGUUGGGCUGUUCGCCCAUUAAAGAGGAACGUGAGCUGGGUUCAGAACGUCGUGAGACAGUUUGGUUCCUAUCUAUUGCGGGCGCAGGAAAUUUGCGGGGAUCUGUCCCUAGUACGAGAGGACCGGGAUGGACUAACCAAUGGUGUACCAGUUAUUUCUUCAGAAGCACGGCUGGAUAGCUAUGUUAGGAAUAAAUAAGCGCUGAAAGCAUCUAAGUGCGAAGUUAACCCCAAGAUUAGAUUUCCCAUCCCGCAAGGGAGUAAGAUACCUUUUAGACUAAGAGGUUGAUAGGCAACAAAUGUAAGCAGAGUAAUCUGUUCAGUUAAGUUGUACUAAUUUAUCGAGGACUUAUUUU